Molecule: long non-coding RNA, 6862 nt
Organism: Helianthus annuus (common sunflower)
Lineage: Eukaryota; Viridiplantae; Streptophyta; Magnoliopsida; Asterales; Asteraceae
Exons: 11
Source: RefSeq, a predicted model, not a curated record
ACUCCUUUGCUUCUCUGAGUCUAUACAAAAAUUUGAAGUUCUGACACCAGGUAUUCGAUUAAAUGCUAACUCGAGAUUCACUAUUAAUUUUAAGGUCAAUUUGGUUUUCUUCAAUGGUAUUUUGGGAAAUCGAUCUGUAGGUUCAUGUUGAUUGUGGUUCCUUAUACUUCAAGAUUUGGAGGGUGCCCAUUUGUAUUUUCUUUUGUACGAUGAUUACAAAUAUAUGAUUAAAAGUUCAAUAAUAAUAAAUUUCUUUGAGUUAAGUGAUAUAGGAGGUUUUAUGCAUUUCAAAAUACAAAACUCACUUCUUUGAUCCGUUUCCUUUUUAGAUAUGUUUUUUUUUAUUAUAAAUUUGUGCGUAUUUCGAGUUUUUGUGUUUCAUCCGUGUUUUAUCCCCUUCUCUAUCUUCACCAUCUCCUCUUUGUUCAGCCAACGCUAGCUAAUAAGUGAAAGUUGACAAAAUUUUAUCUUCAUUCCAAGUAUGGUUCCAUUUCACUGAUUUUUGUCUAGAUUUGUUAGAUUUUGGUUUCCAAAUGGUUCAAAGAAACGUUGUUUAAGCUGUUGUAGUUGACCACUUCACUUAUUUUUUGUUCUUGCAAAAUAUCUUAGUCCACAUUUGUUUUUAGCCAUUUCAUAUGUCCUCUUGACGGUUUUAGGCUAAAUUUUAGCAGAUUAUGGCCGCUAUGUAUCAACACUAAUGGAACAUAAGAGCCUUUAUGAAGUAAAUCUCCCUAAUUAACCUUUGUGGCUUGCUUAAAGAUUGAUGAUAUGUUAAAUUAAUGCAGAAGAUAAGGAUGGUGGGUGGCGGUGCAAGAGUGCUACCCCGCCACCUACCGGUGGUGAAAGACCACCAUGCGCGACCCGCACACAUUGUCGUACCUUUAGGUGUACACACCUUGCGCCUUUUUAUUCCUUCUUUUGUUCUCAAAUUUAUAUCAUUUCUUCUUUGGGUGUAAACGAGCCAAGUCGCUCUUGAGCUAAUCUAGAUCGGCUAAGAGCUCGAAUAGAGUCAAGUUUAGAUGAACGCAAUCCUAAGCUCGGGCCUAAAAAUAAAAAUUUGUUUAAUAAAUGAGCCUAAGCCCGAGCUUCCUUUAUCGAGAUCAAGUUGGCUCGCAAGCCUAAACGAGCCCAAGCCCGAACUUUUUUAAUAAAUUGCAGCUCGAACUCACUUACUUACGAAAAACUUAAUGCAUUAAUGAUUAAACCUCCUAAACUGUUAUAUUUGAAAAGUUAAUAGUUGAUAUAAAUUUAGAAACGAAUUUUGUGUUUCAUAGUUAUUAAAGGACACUUAAUCUUUAAUGUUUUGCAGUUUGUUGAUCUUCUUUAUUUUAUCAUAUGGGAAGUUAACAUCUUUACAUGAUUCCAUGAGACAUGGAUAUAAUAAGCUCUAAUUGCAUAACUAUACAACUUUCUUUUGUUGAUAGAUGUGACCUGGAUUGGUAAAAACUGCAAAAGGAGGUGUAGACGUGAUUGGAACAUAUGUAUUUUGGAAUGGAUGAGCCAUCACUUGAUUUUCUAAAAACAUCUAAAAGUGCUAGGUUGGACGUCUAAAUGUUGACUGAUUAAUCAUUUUUUUGCAGUUUUUUAUGUGGUUUUAGUACUACCUUGGUGAGAGGUAUGAUUUACCCAAAUUUGUGAAGAUAGUUCAGGAUGUCGGUAUGCUUUUUAUUUUUUGGAUUGGCCCAUUCGUUGCUGCAGAAUGGAACUUUGGGUAUGUCUAUAACUAUUGUUUCUUAGUUUAAUAUCGAUGUUUGGUUUUUUUAGCUUAAAGGUAAUAUAUGUUUUAAAUUCUUAACGAUUUACCAUAAAAUAUUUAGUUGUAUGCCUGUUUGAUUACACUAUUUACCAAGGUGAGAAAUUGCUUAUGGUUUCUGUUUGAUUACACUAUAUUCAGUGUUAGUGGAAAAUAUAGCAUUAUAUGCAAAACUUCACAACUCAACAUAUUAUUGUGAUUGUGAUCAGGUUAGUAGCAUGUAAACUAUAGUUAAAGAUUGCGAUUUUUGACUCAUUUGUAUACACUAUCAAUUGGUUCGGGUCGAUAUUGGUUAGGAGCAAAAUGAGUUCGGGUCAAAACGGGUUUGGAGCAAAAUGAGUUUGGGUUAAAAUCACAUAUUUAAAAAAAUUAUCAAUUUCGUUCGGGUUGAUAUUGGUUAGGAGCAAAAUGAGUUCGGGUGAAAAUGGGUUUGGAGCAAAAUGAGUUCGGGUUAAUAAAUUUUUUUAAAUUCUUUUGGUAACUAUGUUUACAUAAAAAAUGACUGUCACUCAAAAGGAUAACCGGUUAGGAGCGAACUGAGUUCGGGUUAAAACAAAACAUUUGGAAAAAGAACUACAAUUUGGUUAAGGUCAAAACAGGUUUGGAGGAAAAUGAGUUUUGGUGAAAACUGUAUAUUAAAAAAAAACUAUCAAUUUGGUUCGGGUCGAUAUUGGUUAGGAGCAAAAUGAGUUCGGAUCAAAACGGCUUUGGAGCAAAAUGAGUUUGGGUUAAAAUCAUUUUGAUAGUUUAUUGUUAUUUGUUUUCUUAGGGACUCAUUUAAGUAUCUCAUACAUUUCAAUUUUAAUCUUUUACCCAUCAUAUUGUUUCUUCACUAUUUAUAUUAGUAAAAAACUAAGAAUGAAUUUUUGAUGUCUUUAUGUGUUACACUAAUACAGUACAUGGAUCAACAUUUCAUUCAGUACCCUUCACAUGACUGGAAAAAUAGAGAAACUAUAUAGUUUAUUAGAGGUAAAUUUAUUCAAUUAUUGAACAUGUUGAAGGUAAAAUCUACAUAUUUUUUUUACUUUGGUUGUGAAACUUGCUUAUGUUGUUGCUGUUGAUACCUUUAUAAGAUCAUACAAAUAUCACUAUUAGAAUUUUGAAAGUGUCAGGUUUGAUUUUGACAGUCUUGAUUUUAAGUUGAGACUGAUGUGUAUUUGUGUAGUUAUAUAUCAAAGGUUCAUGAUUCCUAACAAAACCAUACAUGGAGCACAUCAAAGGGGAAAAAUUAUAAAGUUUUUUUUUUAUUUAAAUAUUGAAUAUUUAAUACUAAGAAGUGCUUUGAUUAUGAAACUCAAACCUGCUGUUCUUUACUUUCAAGUUUAAUGUGAAUACAUGGAUGCAAAGAUUUAUGUCAAACUAAUCAUGAAUCACUUCAAAUGGACGAAAGGGUGCAAAGAAGACCAAAGUUUUUCUAUCAAAAUUAAGUCUUUAAACUACUAAAUUUGACUUUCAGUUUCAGUUAUACAGGUAUAGGUUUGUGGAUCAAUGGUGACAGAAGAGCAUGUUGUUGAAUAUGGCUUAACUAAAAUAUUUUGACUGUCACUCGAAAGUAUAACACGGGUUAGGAGCGAACCGAGUUCAAAAAAAUCAUAUUGAAAAAAACUAUCAAUUUGGUUUAUGUCAAAACAGGUUUGGAGCAAAACGAGUUUCGGUUAAAAUUGUAUAUUAAAAAAAACUAUCAUUUUGGUUCGGGUCGAUACUGGUUAGGAGUAAAAUGAGUUCGCGUCAAAACGGGUUUGGAGCUAGGUAAAUGAGUUUGUGUUAAAACUGUAUAUUUAAAAAAAAACUAUCAAUUUGGUUCGGGUUGAUACUGGUUAGGAGCAAAAUGAGUUCGGGUGAAAAUGGAUUUGGAGCAAAAUUAUCUUAUUAAUAACACAGUGUGGAAAUUGGAAGUCAUAUCUAUGCAAAAGCAUAGUUCAUACUGUUUCAUUUGGUAACCCAUUAGAGAUAAAACAUAAGCGAAAAUGACCCGUUUUUAGCCUUUUUGGUAAAUGGGUUCAAAGGUAAUUAAUUUUGUUGAUGUUUGCUUGAUAAGUUUUUGACCUAAUUGUUUAUGUUGUUAGAUUUUAUGAUUUUGACCUAAUUGUGAUUUUGACUAAAUUUUUGAGUUGUUGGGUUUAGGUAUUGAGCGAUUGGUGAAUUGUGAUGUCUUGUGUGUUCAUACUUGAUAAUGGCUAAGGGGGUUGAUAGCAACAGAAACAUGUGAGGAACAAUAUGUGAUUUAUGAAUAAUCAAAAUACAACAUAGAGGGGUUUAUUCUAGCAACACAAUCAUAAAGUUCAUGCUUUAGCUUAAUGGUAUCACAAUACAGAGGGGUUUAUUCUAAACAUUAAGUUUUUAUUUCAUAAUUAUUUGACUAUUGUAUUCCUGGCCACUAGGACUUUUCUGAGUAGUGGUGUUUUGGAUGGUUUAGCUUACACAAUGUUCAAGAGAUGCUAAGUUUUAGAAAUUUCAAAUAUAACCUGCAUCCAUGCUAAUUGCUCUUUCUCUUCAAUCCGCUUCUAUUGGAUUUCUGGAAGUUGAAUGUAAGCUCUAGAAAUCAACUAUAUCUAUCUAUUAUACUAAAUGAAUUGUCUUUGGUCACAUGGGCUAUUCUUAGCCAAUCAUUUUGAUGAUGUGGACACCCUCUUAAUCAAGAUAAUUCACCUUAAGCGCCAAACUCUUUUCUUUUAAUCUCCUCUCUCACAUUCUCAGUUCUCACGUUUUCUCAAAAAACCCUAAAUCAUCUACCGCCGCUUACCACUCUCCACCAUCACAUUCUUCUAUAUGAAACAAUUCUACAUGAUUCGAUCGAAACUGAAUUAAAGGUAUCACUUGAAGCUUUCACAAAGCCUAAUUCUCAGCGAGUCGAUUCUCAUGUAUCUAUGAUUCAGAUUCAGAUCCCAUCUAUCUCUGAUUCCUUUCAAAAACUCUACAUCUAUACCAGCCGAUUCUCAUCAAAGCGAUUAUCAUAAACCCUAAAUAAACCCUCAAUUGGAACCAGUCGAAUGCUAAUCCAUAAUGAUGAACGAAAAUGGCCAGAAUAUGGACACGGGUUCGUGCGUGUUGGUGGGUUUGUACUGUGGAGAUGGUGGUGAUAAGAACUCAGGUAUUUUGUUUUUCAUGGUAACUUUUAUGCUGAUGGGGCUGAAGCAUACCAAAUGGAAAUUUGGAUCAGACAUAUUGAUGGAUUACGUUUCAAAUCAGAUGCAGAGAGACAGAAAGUGAUACAAUUUUCUUGAAGUAGCGAUAUAGAGAAGAGUUUCCGCGGUAAGGAUGAUAAAAAUUAUCUUUUUCAGAUGUAUUUUUUAUUUGUUUUGUUUGUUAGGUGUAAUUUAUGGGUUAACAUAGAUUGUACUCGUGCUACAUGAGCUAAAGAUAGAGAUACACACGAAAGACAGAGUUGGGUUAUUAUCUGACGCUAUGCAGUUAAUAGCAUGCUAUAACGAUGUUAAUUCUUACAAGGCAAGUAACUUCAGACAUCACGUGCAUGUUAAUUCUUACUGUUUUUAAAAGUUAUAUGAUUUUCAGCCUUUCAUGGAUGUUUAAACAGGUCACAUAGUUGAUCUAAAUAAACACUACAAAUCCAUGUUGUUUGAUUUUCUUAACGGGUCGGACUAUCGCUUGGAUUCUUGGUUAGCUUGCAGGUGACAUUUCAUGGGUCAGGUCACCACAUGCAUUUGUAACUUCACUUAAUCUUUUAAUCUUUUUAGUUUAAUGCUUUCUUUGUAAAAAGCUCAAAUUCAAAACCGUUAGGGUAGUGUAUGAGGCCAACUGGGAGCUAGGGGAGUGUUUUUUAAUUUCUUUUUCCCUUUUAUGUCAAUGUGGUUAACCAUUUUAUAUUGCGGAUCUAAAAAGGCGAUGAAGUUGAAUCAGAAACGAUGGCGUACUUUUAUGAAAUUAGUGAAGACGUGUCAACCAUUGCAGGUUAUGGCGGCGAAGUUGAAUCAGAAACGACGACGUAUUUUGUGAAAUUGGUGAAGAGUUUGUUUCAAACCGAUGGAUGGAUCUGGUUAUCGUCAUGUUUGGCCUGUAGCACUGGCAUUGUCACAAUGGAUAGUGGUUGGUGAAGGAAUAAAGAUAGUGUGCAGGUCAUGAGGGUUGCUUGGCAUGCGGGUUUUACAGCUCAACUUCAACAAAACGGUUCAUCCAAUGCUGGUGAAGUUAGAAUUUCUUCUGGUUGUUGUUAAGAGCUUGAAAUGGGCCAGUCAAUACAUAUGGGCACUAUCCUUGCUAGUGAUUUUAUGGUGGCAUUUUGGCUCACCAAAUUGACUUCUACUGAUUGUUGCGGGUGCUCAUCGGGAUAGAACCAGAAAGUACCAACACCGGAAGAUUAAAAUAUCAAACCGAGAGAACCAAACCUAUCUAAACGAGUUCCGUUUAAGACUGUAACGAUUUGCGUUUUGGAUUCCUAAUUCUUACAAGGAGUGUAAUAGUUUUUUAGCGUUCUAAGGGAAAUGACCACCAUACCUACCUAAUAUAUAUAUAUAUAUAUAUAUAUAUAUAUAUAUAUAUUUUGUUUUGUUACUUAUCUUUACUUUGCUUUCAUAAUUAAAUUGGUGUCGAAUUUUGGGUGCAGGCCAUGGAUACCAAAGACAAGGAGAGCAAAUAAUUAAUUGGACAUAGAGUUUUUGUUAUUGCUGAGAGGCAUGAGUGGAGCUGGUGGUUUGAGUGCGAAAAUCCGAUGGCAGAUGAGUUGUUAGUGUUUGUGGGCGGUGGUGAUUGUUAGCCAUACCAUUGUGGUGAUUAAGGAAUAGAGGGAUGGUUUUCAACAACCGGUGAGCCAUUUGUAGUAAAGGAGGAUGAUUUCCAGUUUCAUUCCAAGAUGAUGAAUGCGAUAGUGGAGUUAAAAAAGACAUCAUGAAAACAUCAUGAAGGUUUAGUUGACAAAAACUUAAUUUGUAACGAACAUUAUGUAGAUGUACUAUUGGGACGUGCUCAACUGUCUCAAAAUAUUAGGUUUAACAAAUCACACUUUAACGCUUCUACGUUUAAAUUAUUUUAUGUGUUUAGUUGGUGUUUAGCCACCCGCGAAGCUCGCGGUGUCUUAGGCUAGUAUAUAUAUAAAGUAGUAAUAAUAGUAAUGUAACUCCCAUACCUUACACAAUUGUUUCCAUACUACCUUAG